GACGAACGCUGGCGGCGUGCUUAACACAUGCAAGUCGAACGGAAAGGCCCCCACUUUUUUGGUGGGGGUGCUCGAGUGGCGAACGGGUGAGUAACACGUGGGUGAUCUGCCUUGUACUUCGGGAUAAGCUUGGGAAACUGGGUCUAAUACCGGAUAGGACCAUGGUUUAGUGUCUCAUGGUGGAAAAAUUAUUGUUUUGGUGCAGGAUGAGCUCGCGGCCUAUCAGCUUGUUGGUGGGGUAAUGGCCUACCAAGGCGUCGACGGGUAGCCGGCCUGAGAGGGUGGACGGCCACAUUGGGACUGAGAUACGGCCCAGACUCCUACGGGAGGCAGCAGUGGGGAAUAUUGCACAAUGGGCGCAAGCCUGAUGCAGCGACGCCGCGUGGGGGAUGACGGCCUUCGGGUUGUAAACUCCUUUCGUUAGGGACGAAGCCGCACCUUUUUUGGGUGUGGUGACGGUACCUUUGUUAAGAAGCACCGGCUAACUACGUG
RNAcentral lists this ribosomal RNA (492 nucleotides) under uncultured bacterium. Its description in RNAcentral is "partial 16S ribosomal RNA". It matches the Rfam family "Bacterial small subunit ribosomal RNA", at positions 28 to 507 of the family's 1533-position model. The record is from RNAcentral.